Molecule: ribosomal RNA, 430 nt
Filed under: uncultured archaeon
Lineage: Archaea
Description: bacterial SSU rRNA
Rfam family: Archaeal small subunit ribosomal RNA
Source: RNAcentral
UACCUGCAGCUCGAGUGGUAACCGCUAUUAUUGGGCCUAAAGCGUCCGUAGCCGGUUUGGUAAAUAUCUGGGUAAAUCGUGAGGCUUAACUUCACGAAUUUCGGAUAGACUGCCAGACUUGGGAUCGGGGGAGGUCAGAGGUACUCCAGGGGUAGCGGUGAAUGUUGUAAUCCUUGGAGGACCACCGGUAGCGAAGGCGUCUGACUAGAACGAGUCCGACGGUGAGGGACGAAGCCCUGGGGCGCAAACCGGAUUAGAUACCCGGGUAGUCCAGGGUGUAAACGAUGUGGGCUUUGUAUUGGAGGUCCCACGUGGGCGUCCAGUGCAGAAGAGAAGUUGUUAAGCCCACCGCCUGGGAAGUACGGUCGCAAGGCUAGAAACUUAAAGGAAGUUGGCGGGGGAGCACAGACACGGGAGGAGCGUGCGGUUU